RNAcentral lists this ribosomal RNA (301 nucleotides) under uncultured bacterium. RNAcentral's name for it is "partial 16S ribosomal RNA". It matches the Rfam family "Bacterial small subunit ribosomal RNA", at positions 509 to 809 of the family's 1533-position model. The record is from RNAcentral.
CAGUCGCCGCGGUAAUACGUAGGGCGCAAGCGUUAUCCGGAAUUAUUGGGCGUAAAGGGCUCGCAGGCGGUUUCUUAAGUCUGAUGUGAAAGCCCCCGGCUCAACCGGGGAGGGUCAUUGGAAACUAGGAAACUUGAGUGCAGAAGAGGAGAGUGGAAUUCCACGUGUAGCGGUGAAAUGCGUAGAGAUGUGGAGGAACACCAGUGGCGAAGGCGACUCUCUGGUCUGUAACUGACGCUGAGGAGCGAAAGCGUGGGGAGCGAACAGGAUUAGAUACCCCUGUAGUCCCUGUCUCUUAUAU